UACGGAGGGUGCAAGCGUUAUCCGGAUUCACUGGGUUUAAAGGGUGCGUAGGUGGGCAGGUAAGUCAGUGGUGAAAUCUCUGGGCUUAACCCGGAAACUGCCGUUGAUACUAUCUGUCUUGAAUGUAGUGGAGGUGAGCGGAAUAUGUCAUGUAGCGGUGAAAUGCUUAGAUAUGACAUAGAACACCCAUUGCGAAGGCAGCUCGCUACACUAUUAUUGACACUGAGGCACGAAAGCGUGGGGAGCAAACAGG
Molecule: ribosomal RNA, 253 nt
Filed under: uncultured bacterium
Lineage: Bacteria
Description: partial 16S ribosomal RNA
Rfam family: Bacterial small subunit ribosomal RNA
Source: RNAcentral